RNAcentral lists this ribosomal RNA (318 nucleotides) under uncultured eukaryote. RNAcentral describes it as "partial 18S ribosomal RNA". It matches the Rfam family "Eukaryotic small subunit ribosomal RNA", at positions 1470 to 1796 of the family's 1831-position model. The record is from RNAcentral.
CCCUUAGAUGUUCUGGGCUGCACGCGCGCUACACUGCUAUCUUCAACGAGUAUCAACCUGCCCCGAGAGGGAUGGGUAAUCUUCUGAAAAGAUAGCGUGAUGGGGAUAGAUCAUUGCAAUUAUUGAUCUUCAACGAGGAAUUCCUAGUAAGCGCAAGUCAUCAGCUUGUGCUGAUUACGUCCCUGCCCUUUGUACACAUCGCCCGUCGCUCCUACCGAUUGAGUGAUCCGGUGAAUUAUCUGGAUUGCCUAUGUACCUUGAGUUGUAGGCGAGAAAUUUUGUGAACCUUAUCACUUAGAGGAAGGAGAAGUCGUAACA